Molecule: long non-coding RNA, 529 nt
Organism: Acyrthosiphon pisum (pea aphid)
Lineage: Eukaryota; Metazoa; Arthropoda; Insecta; Hemiptera; Aphididae
Exons: 2
Source: RefSeq, a predicted model, not a curated record
UAAACAAAAAAAUAUUCGAUUUUUGGAAGCCAACAAAUCUCUGUUUGAGCUCUUCUUUUAAAUACAAAAUUUACCUAUGUAGAAUGUACCAAAGUUCGAAUCCAUGAGUGUGAUGUACCGUGCUGUGGAUCAAUAAGAUGAGUCCUGUAACAUCUAUCAUCAUCACGCCUGUAUCGACGUUGCUCUUUCUGCCGUCACGACAAAUUUUCGUCCGUUCGACGAGACGCGUAGUCUGUAGUAGUUGUUCGGAACGACGAAUCAUUACAUUAUGGCGUGGUGGUGGCGAAGAGUAACUUCUCACUGUGAGAGAAGUGAAGGAGACGACUGGGGUUAUUUUCCCGGUUUUCUCCACUUGGUCUUUAUAACAUUCCAGGUAAUCAUACAGUACGAGGGCAUACAACUACCUAUAAUAUAAUGUUAUGUACCUAUAGGAUUGAACGCGAGUCAUGGUCAACGAUCAGCAGUGGCAAACGUACAAUCAUUUGUUACACUGUAUGAUGUUAUUACCAUUAUUAUACGUUAUUAAGGA